RNAcentral lists this ribosomal RNA (766 nucleotides) under Staphylococcus aureus. RNAcentral describes it as "bacterial SSU rRNA". It matches the Rfam family "Bacterial small subunit ribosomal RNA", at positions 28 to 776 of the family's 1533-position model. The record is from RNAcentral. Lineage: Bacteria; Bacillati; Bacillota; Bacilli; Caryophanales; Staphylococcaceae.
GAUGAACGCUGGCGGCGUGCCUAAUACAUGCAAGUCGAGCGAACGGACGAGAAGCUUGCUUCUCUGAUGUUAGCGGCGGACGGGUGAGUAACACGUGGAUAACCUACCUAUAAGACUGGGAUAACUUCGGGAAACCGGAGCUAAUACCGGAUAAUAUUUUGAACCGCAUGGUUCAAAAGUGAAAGACGGUCUUGCUGUCACUUAUAGAUGGAUCCGCGCUGCAUUAGCUAGUUGGUAAGGUAACGGCUUACCAAGGCAACGAUGCAUAGCCGACCUGAGAGGGUGAUCGGCCACACUGGAACUGAGACACGGUCCAGACUCCUACGGGAGGCAGCAGUAGGGAAUCUUCCGCAAUGGGCGAAAGCCUGACGGAGCAACGCCGCGUGAGUGAUGAAGGUCUUCGGAUCGUAAAACUCUGUUAUUAGGGAAGAACAUAUGUGUAAGUAACUGUGCACAUCUUGACGGUACCUAAUCAGAAAGCCACGGCUAACUACGUGCCAGCGGCCGCGGUAAUACGUAGGUGGCAAGCGUUAUCCGGAAUUAUUGGGCGUAAAGCGCGCGUAGGCGGUUUUUUAAGUCUGAUGUGAAAGCCCACGGCUCAACCGUGGAGGGUCAUUGGAAACUGGAAAACUUGAGUGCAGAAGAGGAAAGUGGAAUUCCAUGUGUAGCGGUGAAAUGCGCAGAGAUAUGGAGGAACACCAGUGGCGAAGGCGACUUUCUGGUCUGUAACUGACGCUGAUGUGCGAAAGCGUGGGGAUCAAACAGG